CUUCCGUUAGUAAAGUAAUCAAAAAUACCCUUAUUUCUAAGGGUGCUCCAUAGUGGCAAUCCAAAUCUUACAUGGUCACAUUUGGGUGAGCCAUCUUCUUCCCCUUCCAUUUCUUAGCCCAAUGGAGGUUCCAAAAUUUUUUCCUUUCAAAUCUCUGAAUCUAAGUAGUUGAAGGAUGAGCACUUCACAAGCUUUUUCUUUCAAAUCUUCUUCACUAUCCAGUAGUUGAAGGUUGAGCAGUUGCUUAAUCAACUCUGACACUCACAAGCAUAUCGUCCUCACCAAGCAACAGUCAUGUGCACGAAUCGCCCAUUUUUAAUCUAGCAGCCAGCACAACCAACGGUAAUUUUCAAAAAUUGCCCAGUCCUAAUCAAGCAGAAAUCACAAGCGACCAUGAACAUCACACAGUGUCGGUUCCUAAUCAACCAGAAAUCACAAGCAACGUUAAUUUUGAAGGAUCUCCCAGUCCUAGUCUAGCACCCAGCAGCACAAGCAAAGGUGAAUCGCCCAGUCCUAAUACAACAGCCAACACAAGCAAUGGUAAUGUUCAAGAAUCGCCCAGUCCUGUAAUAAGCUUUUCCUUCUCUUGUUAGAUUUGGAGAUUAACAGUAAUUUUGUCCAGAUUUGAAAGGAAAAUAAAAAUUGGAACCUCCAUUUCAAGGCAUGAGGGCAAGAAGAAAUGAAUGGGGAAGAAGAUGGUGAGGUGGCAUGCCACGUGGCAUCUACCUCACCCAAAUGUCAGACCAUGUAGGAUUUGGAUUGCCACUAUAGAGCACCCUUAGAAAUAAGGGUAUUUUUGAUUACUUUACUAACGAGAGGGGUAGAUUUAAACCUAUAGUAUAACAGAGGACAUACAUGGAUAAUUUUUAGUAGUACAGGGGUAUAUGCAGCUCUUUUUCCUAAAAGUAAUGUAUGAAAGUUGUAGAUAAGUUGUAAAUAAGUGUAUACUAUAUAAUUAGUUGUAUGAAAUUUAUUUUUAGUAUGUAUGUUGUUAUAGAUAUAUUAAUUUG
This 1010-nucleotide long non-coding RNA is filed under the name Nicotiana tabacum (common tobacco). Its description in RNAcentral is "long non-coding RNA (NTAB_LNC013266)". Lineage: Eukaryota; Viridiplantae; Streptophyta; Magnoliopsida; Solanales; Solanaceae. The record is from RNAcentral.